Podarcis muralis (Common wall lizard) is the source of this 821-nucleotide non-coding RNA. The record is from RefSeq and is a predicted model, not a curated record. NCBI's taxonomy places the organism in Eukaryota, Metazoa, Chordata, Lepidosauria, Squamata, Lacertidae.
GCUCCCCCUGUGGACCCCUGUUUGAAAAGACUAGGAAGGCUCCGCACACUUCCUCGCCUCCACAGGUGAAAGAGAGACAAAGUCAACAUGAAGAAGAGCUCAUCAUCGAAGAUAUUGAAGACCUGGAGGAAGAACAGUGAAAGCUUGCGGAGAUGAAGAUGUAGCUCAGCGUUGUCUCACUGCCCUCUCAGCAGCCGCCGCCCCAGGCCAAGGCAAUUUGCUGGGCCUAGCAGUGGAAGCAGCACGUGCAAGACACCCCGUGAAGUGGCCCAGCAGGCCGUAGAUGCGGAUGUGCAUUGUGUGGCUUGGCUGCUGGCCACAAAACGCUUGUUCCUGAACUCCUCAAAGAGCUGCAUGCCCUUGGCCACCCAGACAUUCUCGUCAUGUGUGGAGGCGCCAUCCCUCCCCAGGAUUAUGACUUCCUGUAUGACUCAAUAGCCUCUGUAGAGUCUGAAGUUGGUGGCCUUAUGGGAGAUAUGGGCAGUUUCCAGUUCUGUGACCUCACGAAUCCUUUACUGAGAUGACAUGCACAAGACGGUGUGCUUCUUAUCAACCUGGGUUCCAGACCGAAGGUGUCCUGCAGUCUGCUUAGCUGACAUCUCAAAGUCCUGGUGGAAAGGAGGAAGCAUCCUUCCUCUUGCAGCCCACUUGAGAACGGGCAGGUGGUCCAUCCUUCUCCAUCAGUCCACUCAUUCGCCUGCAUGGAAUUUCUGGUCACCUAAUUUUACACACAGACGUCUACCACCGCGGCCCUUUUCUCUAGCGAGCAAAUAAGCUCCGAAGACUUACUCACCGCAGUUUCCUUCGGAUUGCAGUGCAAU